AAUUCUCUAAUAAUUUUGCAGUAUGGUUAUGAUAAGGAAGAUAAGGCUACUCAAGCUUAUGAUUUAGCAGCAUUGAAGUAUUGGGGAACUAUCACAACUACAAAUUUUCCAAUGAGUAACUAUGAGAAAGAGAUAGAGGAAAUGAAGCAUAUGACAAGGCAGGAAUAUGUAGCAUCAUUGAGAAGAAAAAGCAGUGGAUUCUCUAGAGGAGCAUCCACGUAUACAGGAGUUAGAGUUUAAAAUUAUUUAAGACCAUUAUCUUAAGGCUAUUUGCAAAAAUAGGCCACUAUUUUUCGGACUUGCAAAAAUAGGCCAAUUAUUUUAGUUUUUGGCAUUUUUAGGCCACAUUUGAGCUCAAUUUAGCAUUUAUAGGCCAUUUUUUGGGGUCAAAAUGUGGCCCAAAAUAGCCUGA
This is a long non-coding RNA of Salvia miltiorrhiza (redroot sage), 412 nucleotides long. RefSeq lists it as uncharacterized. The transcript has 3 exons. The record is from RefSeq and is a predicted model, not a curated record. NCBI's taxonomy places the organism in Eukaryota, Viridiplantae, Streptophyta, Magnoliopsida, Lamiales, Lamiaceae.